CACAUGCGUAGAAGACAGAAAUUUCGAAUUUAUUUGCGCCAAUUUGGUUACCACAUCAGUUGCUCUCGGCAGAGUAAAAUGAUGUCUUACCAAAAAAUCCAUGUCUGUACAGUACAUCUCGGAUAAAAAGAAUAAAUAUGCCUAUGGUGUCCAAGCUUGACCGAUUGAAAUAAUAAGAAAUGCUGUAGUAACAAGUUUCGAAUGUACACAUUAGACCUUAAUAUG
Molecule: long non-coding RNA, 225 nt
Organism: Mytilus trossulus (common blue mussel)
Lineage: Eukaryota; Metazoa; Mollusca; Bivalvia; Mytilida; Mytilidae
Exons: 3
Source: RefSeq, a predicted model, not a curated record